GGAAUAUUGGUCAAUGGACGGAAGUCUGAACCAGCCAUGCCGCGUGGAGGAAGAAGGUCCUAUGGGUUGUAAACUCCUUUUACGCCGGAGUAAUAAGAGCCUUGCGAGGCUCGAUGAGAGUACGGCGGGAAUAAGCAUCGGCUAACUCCGUGCCAGCAGCCGCGGUAAUACGGAGGAUGCAAGCGUUAUCCGGAUUUAUUGGGUUUAAAGGGUGCGCAGGCGGCGCGUUAAGUCAGCGGUGAAAUCUUCCGGCUCAACCGGGGGACUGCCGUUGAUACUGGCGUGCUGGAGUACGGACGGCGCCGGCGGAAUGUGUCAUGUAGCGGUGAAAUGCUUAGAUAUGCCACAGAACACCGAUCGCGAAGGCAGCUGGCGAGGCCGGUACUGACGCUCAGGCACGAAAGCGUGGGGAUCAAACA
This 419-nucleotide ribosomal RNA is filed under the name uncultured bacterium. RNAcentral's name for it is "bacterial SSU rRNA". It matches the Rfam family "Bacterial small subunit ribosomal RNA", at positions 358 to 774 of the family's 1533-position model. The record is from RNAcentral.